ACAAUAUUUCUUUGUUUUCCAGCAAUGUGCAGUUUACUAUCCAUACCUAGGUUUUUUCAGUAUACGGAUAUGGAUAGUAAACUGCACAUUGCUGAAAAACAAAAAAAUAUUGUU
RNAcentral lists this small RNA (114 nucleotides) under Mytilus galloprovincialis (Mediterranean mussel). Lineage: Eukaryota; Metazoa; Mollusca; Bivalvia; Mytilida; Mytilidae. The record is from RNAcentral.